CAGUCGCCGCGGGAAUACGAGGGGAGCUAGCGUUAUUCGGAAUUACUGGGCGUAAAGCGCACGUAGGCGGCUUUGUAAGUUAGAGGUGAAAGCCCGGAGCUCAACUCUGGAAUUGCCUUUAAGACUGCAUCGCCUGAAUCCAGGAGAGGUGAGUGGAAUUCCGAGUGUAGAGGUGAAAUUCGUAGAUAUUCGGAAGAACACCAGUGGCGAAGGCGGCACACUGGACUGGUAUUGACGCUGAGGUGCGAAAGCGUGGGGAGCAAACAGGAUUAGAGACCCCCGUAGUCCCUGUCUCUUAUAC
Molecule: ribosomal RNA, 301 nt
Filed under: uncultured bacterium
Lineage: Bacteria
Description: partial 16S ribosomal RNA
Rfam family: Bacterial small subunit ribosomal RNA
Source: RNAcentral